RNAcentral lists this ribosomal RNA (501 nucleotides) under uncultured bacterium. RNAcentral's name for it is "partial 16S ribosomal RNA". It matches the Rfam family "Bacterial small subunit ribosomal RNA", at positions 28 to 508 of the family's 1533-position model. The record is from RNAcentral.
GACGAACGCUGGCGGCGUGCUUAACACAUGCAAGUCGAACGGGCCUGUCUUCUUUUUUGGGGGGUGGGUUGAGUGGCGAACGGGUGAGUAUCACGUGAGUAACCUGCCCUUCGGUCCUGGAUAACCGCUUGAAAGGGCGGCUAAUACGGGGUGGUCCGGUUGGUCCGCAUGGGCUGGUCGGGAUAGAUUCACUGUUUUUGGUGUUUCGGCGGGGGAUGGGCUCGCGGCCUAUCAGCUUGUUGGUGGGGUGAUGGCCUACCAAGGCGGUGACGGGUAGCCGGCCUGGGAGGGUGGGCGGCCACACUGGGACUGAGAUACGGCCCAGGCUCCUGCGGGAGGCAGCAGUGGGGGGUAUUGCACAAUGGGCGGAAGCCUGAUGCAGCGACGUCGCGUGAGGGAUGGAGGCCUUCGGGUUGUGAACCUCUGUUUCCGGUGGUGAAGGCCCUGUCCGGGGGGUGGGGUUGACGGUAGCCGGGGAUGAAGCGCCGGCUAACUACGUGC